UGCCUUCUCAGAUGUUGGAGAGUGACUUUGGAAUCAGAUUAAAGAACUAUCCUGCACAGAAGUGUUUAUGACUUUCAGUGACAAACUGACUCCAGUGACAUUGAGCUAAUUUCUUUUGAUCUAAUGAAUGUAUCUGCUUCACCUUGUUCCCUUACUUUGAAUUGAUAAGCUCCAAGUAUUUAUUACUUUUUUGGGAUACUUUUUACUGAGUUCAUUCAUUUGUUUUAGUCUUUUAAUAAGUAUACUACAGUUAUUUCAUUAACCUGUUCUCAAGUGGUUUAGCUACCAUUCUGCCAUUUAAGCUAUGUUUUUAGCUAUCUGUGAUAACUUGUUAAAUAUUAAAAAGAUAUUUUGCUUCUAUUGGAACAUUUGUAUACUCGCAACUAUAUUUCUGUAAACAGCUGCAGUCAAAAAUAAAACAUUGAAAGUUUUCAUUU
RNAcentral lists this long non-coding RNA (437 nucleotides) under Bos taurus (domestic cattle). RNAcentral describes it as "long non-coding RNA NONBTAT009283". Lineage: Eukaryota; Metazoa; Chordata; Mammalia; Artiodactyla; Bovidae. The record is from RNAcentral.